UGCUUCUUGUUUAAUUUAUAUGAAGUAAUUCUGCCCUGUGAUUUUUAAUAAAUUUAACGGCCGCGGUAUCUUGACCGUGCUAAGGUAGCACAAUUAUGUGCCCCUUAAUUGGGGGAUAGAAUGAAUGAAAUUACGAACUACCUAAUAUAACUAAUAUUUAUGUAAAAACUUAUUUGUAAGUGAAAAAGCUUUCAUUAUAACUUAGGACAAAAAGACCCUAAAAGCUUAAAAUAAAAUUUUGUUUAGUUAACUUUAACAUAUUUUUACCUGGGGCGGGGAGAGAGAUAAACACUACUUAAUUACAUCAUACACCUGUGAAAAUCAUUAGCCAAAAGCAUAUGAAUUAGUUACUUUAGGGAUAACAGGUCGAUCCUAUGUUGUUAGAUCCUAUAAUACAUAGGGCUUGACACCUCGAUGUUGGCUUAGGUUAUCCACCUGUGGCAGUACGCAGUCGGGAGGGUUUGUUCAACCUUGAAACACCU
This 482-nucleotide ribosomal RNA is filed under the name Haplosyllis sp. MTA-2006. RNAcentral describes it as "partial 16S ribosomal RNA". It matches the Rfam family "Bacterial large subunit ribosomal RNA", at positions 1817 to 2597 of the family's 2925-position model. The record is from RNAcentral. Lineage: Eukaryota; Metazoa; Annelida; Polychaeta; Phyllodocida; Syllidae.